This 460-nucleotide ribosomal RNA is filed under the name uncultured bacterium. RNAcentral describes it as "partial 16S ribosomal RNA". It matches the Rfam family "Bacterial small subunit ribosomal RNA", at positions 338 to 795 of the family's 1533-position model. The record is from RNAcentral.
CCUACGUGAUGCAGCCGUGCGGAAUAUUGGUCAAUGGGCUCGAGCCUGAACCAGCCAAGUAUCGUGAAGGAUGACUGCCCUACGGGUUGUAAACUUCUUUUAUAAAAGAAUAAAGUGAGGCACGUGUGCCUUUUUGUAUGUACUUUAUGAAUCAGGCUCGGCUAACUCCGUGCCAGCAGCCGCGGUAAUCCGGAGGAUCCGAGCGUUAUCCGGAUUUAUUGGGUUUAAAGGGAGCGUAGAUGGGGUGUUAAGUCAGUUGUGAAAGUUUGCGGCUCAACCGUAAAAUUGCAAUUGAUACUGGCAGCCUUGAGUACAGUAGAGGUAGGCGGAAUUCGUGGUGUAGCGGUGAAAUGCUUAGAUAUCACGAAGAACUCCGAUUGCGAAGGCAGCUUACUAAACUGCCACUGACAUUGAUGCUCGAAAGUGUGGGUAUCAAACAGGAUUAGAUACCCUAGUAGUC